This 450-nucleotide ribosomal RNA is filed under the name uncultured Glomeromycotina. Its description in RNAcentral is "SSU rRNA". It matches the Rfam family "Eukaryotic small subunit ribosomal RNA", at positions 569 to 1026 of the family's 1831-position model. Lineage: Eukaryota; Fungi; Glomeromycota. The record is from RNAcentral.
AGCAGCCGCGGUAAUUCCAGCUCCAAUAGCGUAUAUUAAAGUUGUUGCAGUUAAAAGCUCGUAGUUGAAUUUCGGGAUCAAUUUAUUGGUCGUGCAAUAGUACGUACUGGUAUUAUUGGUUCCUACCUUCUGAUGAACCAUGAUGUCAUUAAUUUGGUGUUAUGGGGAAUCAGGACUGUUACUUUGAAAAAUUAGAGUGUUUAAAGCAGGCUCACGCUUGAAUACAUUAGCAUGGAAUAAUGAAAUAGGACGUUUGAUUCUAUUUUGUUGGUUUCUAGGAUCGACGUAAUGAUUAAUAGGGAUAGUUGGGGGCAUUAGUAUUCAAUUGUCAGAGGUGAAAUUCUUGGAUUUAUUGAAGACUAACUACUGCGGAAGCAUUUGCCAAGGAUGUUUUCAUUAAUCAAGAACGAAAGUUAGGGGAUCGAAGACGAUCAGAUACCGUCGUAGUCU